RNAcentral lists this ribosomal RNA (465 nucleotides) under uncultured bacterium. RNAcentral's name for it is "partial 16S ribosomal RNA". It matches the Rfam family "Bacterial small subunit ribosomal RNA", at positions 28 to 507 of the family's 1533-position model. The record is from RNAcentral.
GAUGAACGCUGGCGGCGUGCUUAACACAUGCAAGUCGAACGGAAAGGCUCCUGCUUGCUGGGGUACUCGAGUGGCGAACGGGUGAGUAACACGUGGGUGAUCUGCCCUGCACUUCGGGAUAAGCCUGGGAAACUGGGUCUAAUACCGGAUAGGACGAUGGUUUGGAUGCCAUUGUGGAAAGUUUUUCGGUGUGGGAUGAGCUCGCGGCCUAUCAGCUUGUUGGUGGGGUAAUGGCCUACCAAGGCGUCGACGGGUAGCCGGCCUGAGAGGGUGGACGGCCACAUUGGGACUGAGAUACGGCCCAGACUCCUACGGGAGGCAGCAGUGGGGAAUAUUGCACAAUGGGCGGAAGCCUGAUGCAGCGACGCCGCGUGGGGGAUGACGGCCUUCGGGUUGUAAACUCCUUUCGCUAGGGACGAAGCGCAAGUGACGGUACCUGGAGAAGAAGCACCGGCUAACUACGUG